AAAGCAGGCCGUUCUAUCGCAGCAUUGCUGAGGAAAGUCCGGGCAACAAAGGACGCCAUGCUUCCUAACGGGAAGGCGCCGCGAGGCGUAUGAGCGUAACAGAAAAUAACCGCCGGCCUGCGGGUCGGUAAGGGUGAAAAGGCGGGGUAAGAGCCUGCCGGUUCCGCGGUGACGCAGGAAACCGUACGCAUCAUGGGUUGUAAGGCCAAGUAUACCGUCGCAGUAGGGCUGUCCGUUCGAUGACGGGGGGUAGGCCGCUCGACUCCGCCGGCAACGGCAGAGCAAGAUAAAUGAUAGGACGCGACAGAACCCGGCUUACAGGCCUGCUUUAUUU
This 334-nucleotide RNase P RNA is filed under the name Bacteroidales bacterium. RNAcentral describes it as "RNase P RNA component class A". It matches the Rfam family "Bacterial RNase P class A". Rfam says of the family: Ribonuclease P (RNase P) is a ubiquitous endoribonuclease, found in archaea, bacteria and eukarya as well as chloroplasts and mitochondria. Its best characterised activity is the generation of mature 5'-ends of tRNAs by cleaving the 5'-leader elements of precursor-tRNAs. Lineage: Bacteria; Pseudomonadati; Bacteroidota; Bacteroidia; Bacteroidales. The record is from RNAcentral.